RNAcentral lists this long non-coding RNA (846 nucleotides) under Lynx pardinus (Iberian lynx). Lineage: Eukaryota; Metazoa; Chordata; Mammalia; Carnivora; Felidae. The record is from RNAcentral.
ACAGCGUUCUUGCGGGGGCGCGCGCGUGCACCCUAAUCCCCCGCCUUCCGGCUCCGGCGGCGACGCUCGCCGCUUGCCGCUGCCGCCGCGCCACCAGUGUCAGCCUCCCUCUAGAGACUCCAUUUGCUUUCAGGGCGGUCUGGCCCCCGCGCGGGCUGGCGGAGAGCGAUGCCCCCGGCCCGCUGACUGGCGUCCCCUGGGCCAAGCGCUCGCUAGCUGCGGCGGUGACACCCUGGUCGCCGGCGUCCACGGAGGAAUCCGGGCUCCCUCCGCGUGAGCAAAGACGUCCCGCGCUCCGGAGCUCGCCCUGCGGGGAGAGGCCCUCGCUAACGCGGCUUGUCUCUGACCUCUUAAUUUCAGGAGGUAGGCAAUUCAGGUCCCGCUGUCACUCCAGAUAAUGCCUAAAAGCAUUAUUUGUCGGAUUUUGCCAUCACACUGAUAGGAGGCGUUAAUUUUCUCAAUAUAGUUGCAGGAUAGAUACGAGUAAUGCCACAGACCCUGAUAUUGAAAAAAAAAAAUGUUUUUGGUAUUUUCCUUUAGGUUUCGGAGGCACCGAGUGCUUAUACAGCUCCCCACAGGAACUACUUCUGUUGGCCCAUCGAGGAUCAUCUUUCACCAGGAUUAUUUUAACAUCUUCACUGAGCCUUCCACUCCAUACCUUCUACCAUGAGUUCUGAUUUCUACCAAUGAAGUUUUUGAUGCUUGCUUUAAUCAUGUGACACCACCUCUUGUCCGCCUUUUGCCUUUCCAGUUGCCAAAUACAUUAGGUAUAAGUUUGUGUCAUGUUAAAGUACAAAGUUUUCUGCCUGUCCAUUUUCACCUUAUUUGCACUGCUCACUUCUGUCC